RNAcentral lists this ribosomal RNA (274 nucleotides) under uncultured bacterium. RNAcentral describes it as "partial 16S ribosomal RNA". It matches the Rfam family "Bacterial small subunit ribosomal RNA", at positions 523 to 796 of the family's 1533-position model. The record is from RNAcentral.
AUACAGAGGGUGCGAGCGUUAAUCGGAAUUACUGGGCGUAAAGCGCGCGUAGGCGGUCUAUUAAGUCAGAUGUGAAAUCCCAGGGCUCAACCUUGGAACUGCAUCUGAUACUGGUAGACUAGAGUUUUGGAGAGGGAAGUAGAAUUUCAGGUGUAGCGGUGAAAUGCGUAGAGAUCUGAAGGAAUACCAGUGGCGAAGGCGACUUCCUGGCCAAAAACUGACGCUGAGGUGCGAAAGCGUGGGUAGCAAACGGGAUUAGAAACCCUAGUAGUCC